Long non-coding RNA from Bos taurus (domestic cattle), 701 nucleotides. NCBI's taxonomy places the organism in Eukaryota, Metazoa, Chordata, Mammalia, Artiodactyla, Bovidae. The record is from Ensembl.
GGCAUCAGAACCUAGACGCCCCAGGUCACCGUGAGCAGCCUGGGGAGUUCUCAGGAAACCAGCCGAGGGGCGCAGAGGCGGGCUGGCUGGGGUAGGGGCAGGCUCCGGUGUGAAGCCCUGGCUACACCCAGCGAUGGCCCGGGCCGCGGGGAGGCGGCAGUGCUAUCGCUCCUCUGCAGGCUUCCGCAGCUCCCUUCCCCUCCCAGAGCGGCUGUGACUCACUCCAGCCCCCCUUGCUGCCUUUCACUUUCACCCAGCACCCAGAAGGGGAGGAACUUCCUCCUCCAUUUCCUUCCCCAGCUCCCGGCCCUCCUCUUUAUAAAGCAGCAUGAAGCCAAAGCAUGAAGCACUGUUAUUUAAACUCUAUUUUACAGGAGCCUCGCUGCUGCAACCUGUCCCUGACCACACCACAGACAGCCCUGGGCAGAAGACACAGCCAGCAUCUGAACUCAACAGCCAGGGACGUCUGGGGCUUUCAGGAGGACCUACAGUGAGAAACACUUUCUCUCUACAGAGGAAAGCAGUGUGCACGAAGAAAAGAAAACAGCGCUGAACCUACAUGUGUUCUGCAGACACGUGACGGAAGGUGCCCAAAAGUCUCUUGGGUGUUCUGCGCUGGUGGUGACACCAUGCCCUCCAAGGACGGCAACUCGAACACACACUGCUCCCCACGUGCCAUCAGCGGCCCAGCUGCAUGUGGA